UAAUGUGCUGCAGGCAAAGCGGGUGAAGGAAUUUUACAAGGCUGUGUCUGAUCCUCCCUCUCCCCUCCCUCGGACAGUUAAAGCAAUGCUUGUGUGAUGAAAGGGGUGAGGGAGCAGAGGACGGCUGGUUAAGAUGAAAUGUGUGAGCAUUAUCAUGCAAUAAUGGAUUUAGCUGACUGUUUGCCAAUGGUCAGAUCUAGUGUGAAUUGCUUUAUAUGAAACUCAGGGAUUCAUGCAUUAUCCUGCUCCUAAAUCCUUUGAAAGCUGGGACUUUAAAAAAGAAAAGAAACAUUGGGAUGCUUCUGGUUUCUGCCUGUCAGAUGAGGGCUGUAGACGUGCAGCAAGCCGACAACAGAUAUUUUAUCUGGACACAGGCAAGACUUAUGAAGGUCUUACAGACAAGAGGAUGCUGUGUGUGAGUCCGUGACUGGGACCCAGACACGCAGAUUUGCCAGUCAAUUGAGCCCUUAGCUACAGCUGAAUUCAUCUAUCAACCUAUUAUUCAAACCACGUGUUACUGGGCACGUCUGUUUUGAUCACCCAGGUGUGACCUGAAGCCUCUGUAACCUUCCUGGAGGACUCGCUUUACUCUCGGCUCUGCUAAGGCCUGUUACAACAGCGUGUUGUUAUUUAUCUCAUCUCUCCCCUUGCCUAAUCGGUCACGUACCUACUUGGUGUUUGCAAUAGCUGAGUCCCAUCAGAGACAGGAUUUCAAAUUGUUCCUCCCUGUGUCAUCAAACUGCAUGUGGAAAGCCAGCAGCGUUCCCUGUAUUUUUGGAAAAUCCUAGGAAACAACCCAGAAGGAGCAACACCUGAGCUAGUGGCUUCUGCAGCUAUGACUCAGUGUGAGCACAAGUCCAUGAGCAGUCACAAAAAUAGACACUGUUGUGCUGACUGUAUUCAAGAGGGGGGGUUAUGUACACUU
Long non-coding RNA from Neopsephotus bourkii (Bourke's parrot), 925 nucleotides. RefSeq lists it as uncharacterized. NCBI's taxonomy places the organism in Eukaryota, Metazoa, Chordata, Aves, Psittaciformes, Psittacidae. The transcript is spliced from 3 exons. The record is from RefSeq and is a predicted model, not a curated record.